UACGGAGGAUCCGAGCGUUAUCCGGAUUUAUUGGGUUUAAAGGGUGCGUAGGCGGCCUUGUAAGUCGAGGGGUGAAAGACGGUAGCGUCAACUAUCGCAGUGCCUUUGAUACUGCAGGGCUUGAAUGUACUUGAGGCAGGCGGAAUGUGACAAGUAGCGGUGAAAUGCAUAGAUAUGUCACAGAACACCAAUUGCGAAGGCAGCUUGCUAAAGUAUGAAUUGACGCUGAGGCACGAAAGCGUGGGGAUCAAACAGG
RNAcentral lists this ribosomal RNA (256 nucleotides) under uncultured bacterium. RNAcentral's name for it is "partial 16S ribosomal RNA". It matches the Rfam family "Bacterial small subunit ribosomal RNA", at positions 524 to 776 of the family's 1533-position model. The record is from RNAcentral.